AUUGAACGCUGGCGGCAUGCUUUACACAUGCAAGUCGAACGGCAGCGCGGGCUUCGGCCUGGCGGCGAGUGGCGAACGGGUGAGUAAUACAUCGGAACGUGCCCAGUAGUGGGGGAUAGCUCGCCGAAAGCCGGAUUAAUACCGCAUACGACCUGAGGGUGAAAGCGGGGGAUCUUCGGACCUCGCGCUAUUGGAGCGGCCGAUGGCAGAUUAGCUAGUUGGUGGGGUAAAGGCCUACCAAGGCGACGAUCUGUAGCUGGUCUGAGAGGACGACCAGCCACACUGGGACUGAGACACGGCCCAGACUCCUGCGGGAGGCAGCGGUGGGGAAUUUUGGACAAUGGGCGAAAGCCUGAUCCAGCAAUGCCGCGUGUGUGAUGAAGGCCUUCGGGUUGUAAAGCACUUUUGGCGGGAACGAAAAGGACUGUGCCAAUACCACGGUUCGAUGACGGUACCCGCAGAAUAAGCACCGGCUAACUACGUG
This 484-nucleotide ribosomal RNA is filed under the name uncultured bacterium. RNAcentral describes it as "partial 16S ribosomal RNA". It matches the Rfam family "Bacterial small subunit ribosomal RNA", at positions 29 to 507 of the family's 1533-position model. The record is from RNAcentral.